UACGAAGGGUGCAAGCGUUACUCGGAAUUACUGGGCGUAAAGCGUGCGUAGGUGGUUCGUUAAGUCUGAUGUGAAAGCCCUGGGCUCAACCUGGGAAUGGCAUUGGAUACUGGCGACCUAGAGUGCGGUAGAGGGUGGCGGAAUUCCAGGUGUAGCGGUGAAAUGCGUAGAUAUCUGGAGGAAAACCGGUGGCGAAGGCGGAAUCCUGGGCCAACACUGACGCUGAGUGAGCGAAAGCCAGGGGAGCAAACGGG
RNAcentral lists this ribosomal RNA (254 nucleotides) under uncultured bacterium. Its description in RNAcentral is "partial 16S ribosomal RNA". It matches the Rfam family "Bacterial small subunit ribosomal RNA", at positions 524 to 776 of the family's 1533-position model. The record is from RNAcentral.